GAUGAAGAAGCAGUGAAAUGCGAUAAGUAGUGUGAAUUGCAGAAUUCAGUGAAUCAUCGAAUCUUUGAACGCACAUUGCGCCCUUUGGUAUUCCUUAGGGCAUGCCUGUUCGAGCGUCAUUUAAACCUUCAAGCUAAGCUUGGUGUUGGGUGACUGUCCGCUUCACGGCGGACUCGCCUCAAAAUUAUUGGCGGCCGGUACAUUGGCUUCGAGCGCAGCAGAAACGCGAACUCGGGCCCGUCGUAUUGGCUCCCAGAAGCUAUCUUCACAAUUUUGACCUCGGAUCAGGUAGGGAUACCCGCUGAACUUAAGCAUAUCAAUAAGCGGAGGA
This 331-nucleotide unclassified non-coding RNA is filed under the name soil metagenome. RNAcentral describes it as "partial contains 5.8S ribosomal RNA, internal transcribed spacer 2, and large subunit ribosomal RNA". The stretch from base 1 to 119 matches the Rfam family "5.8S ribosomal RNA", at positions 35 to 154 of the family's 154-position model. The record is from RNAcentral.